RNAcentral lists this ribosomal RNA (39 nucleotides) under Polylepis tarapacana. Its description in RNAcentral is "partial 26S ribosomal RNA". Lineage: Eukaryota; Viridiplantae; Streptophyta; Magnoliopsida; Rosales; Rosaceae. The record is from RNAcentral.
CGCGACCCCAGGUCAGGCGGGGUUACCCGCUGCAUUUAA